Gossypium arboreum is the source of this 464-nucleotide long non-coding RNA. RefSeq lists it as uncharacterized. Lineage: Eukaryota; Viridiplantae; Streptophyta; Magnoliopsida; Malvales; Malvaceae. The record is from RefSeq and is a predicted model, not a curated record. The transcript has 3 exons.
AUGUGCAACAAAAUAAAACCCUAAAAGCCUAGUCAUCAUCUUUUUCCUCCAUUAUUUCUUCUUGACUGAAAAUAUCAGCCAUUGAGAGGUUUCUGAAGCUUGAAUUUUCAGCCAUUUAGUCUCUCCACAAAUCAAGAAAUUCAAAAUUCAAACCUAGAUCGAGGGAAGGCCAAGCAAGUAGAUUAGACCGACGAGUCGCCAUAUUUUGUAAGCCGAGUGCUGCCUAAUUAGCUCAAGGAUCAUUAGACUUUGGAAACAUCAAUCACACUAUCAACUGAAGCACUUGGUAUAGUUGGUUUUACUAUUUGAAUUAUGACAUGUGUAGGGCUUAGACUUUUGAUGUUUGUGUCAUGUUAAAUUGGCCAAAUGUGUUGGCUUAGGAUGAAUCCCUUCAUUUUGUACUAAGCCUUGGCAUAGUGGCUAAUGUUCAUUAUUGAUAUAUGAAAUGAUGAUAUUUUCAUGAA